AAACGACUCUCGACAACGGAUAUCCCGGCUCUCGCAUCGAUGAAGAACGUAGCGAAAUGCGAUACUUGGUGUGAAUUGCAGAAUCCCGUGAACCAUCGAGUCUUUGAACGCAAGUUGCGCCCGAGGCCACUAGGCUAAGGGCACGUCUGCCUGGGUGUCAC
Molecule: ribosomal RNA, 161 nt
Filed under: Perideridia americana
Lineage: Eukaryota; Viridiplantae; Streptophyta; Magnoliopsida; Apiales; Apiaceae
Description: 5.8S ribosomal RNA
Rfam family: 5.8S ribosomal RNA
About the family: 5.8S ribosomal RNA (5.8S rRNA) is a component of the large subunit of the eukaryotic ribosome. It is transcribed by RNA polymerase I as part of the 45S precursor that also contains 18S and 28S rRNA. Functionally, it is thought that 5.8S rRNA may be involved in ribosome translocation.
Source: RNAcentral